This 45-nucleotide non-coding RNA is filed under the name Schistosoma margrebowiei. Lineage: Eukaryota; Metazoa; Platyhelminthes; Trematoda; Strigeidida; Schistosomatidae. The record is from RNAcentral.
AUCCAGCUGACCAGUACCAAACAGGACGAAACGCGCGUUCUGGAU